Molecule: long non-coding RNA, 302 nt
Organism: Actinia tenebrosa (Australian red waratah sea anemone)
Lineage: Eukaryota; Metazoa; Cnidaria; Anthozoa; Actiniaria; Actiniidae
Source: RefSeq, a predicted model, not a curated record
GAGCAAUGGAAUGAUGACACAUAAAGGAAAACACUGCCAUGCCAAGAAGCUGAAACGAAAUCAAUACAGCAAUGUUAGAUAAUAAAUAAAUGAAUAUGGCCUAACAGGAGGUCAGUGCAGAGGCAAAAAAGUUUCUGGUACGUCACAGAGAAUAAUAUUAUCAAGAGGAACUCUGUUACCAUUGGCGAUGUCAACCGCACUCAAGAUCACCAUUAAAACUAUAGCAGUGUUUCGCAUUAUCAUGGUGAACAUUUGUAAAUAUGUUGUCUUUUGAAAAUUAAAAAAGCAAAAUGGUCCAAUAA